Molecule: ribosomal RNA, 899 nt
Filed under: uncultured bacterium
Lineage: Bacteria
Description: bacterial SSU rRNA
Rfam family: Bacterial small subunit ribosomal RNA
Source: RNAcentral
GGGCGUAAAGGGUGUGUAGGCGGUUCUCUAAGUUUGGUGUGAAAUCUCCCGGCUUAACCGGGAGGGUGCGCCGAAAACUGGAGGGCUAGAGUGCGGGAAGGGAGAGUGGAAUUCCUGGUGUAGCGGUGAAAUGCGUAGAUAUCAGGAGGAACACCGGUGGUGUAGACGGCUCUCUGGACCGUAACUGACGCUGAGACACGAAAGCGUGGGUAGCAAACAGGAUUAGAUACCCUGGUAGUCCACGCCCUAAACGAUGCAUAUUUGGUGUAGGUCAUUCAGUUGAUCUGUGCCGGAGCUAACGCGUUAAAUAUGCCGCCUGGGGAGUACAGUCGCAAGGCUGAAACUCAAAGGAAUUGACGGGGGCCCGCACAAGCGGUGGAGCAUGUGGUUCAAUUCGACGCAACGCGAAGAACCUUACCUGGGCUCGAACGGCUUCUUAACGGGGGUGGAAACACCUCUAUCCCGCAAGGGAGUGGAGUCGAGGUGCUGCAUGGCUGUCGUCAGCUCGUGUCGUGAGAUGUUGGGUUAAGUCCCGCAACGAGCGCAACCCUUGUCCUGUGUUGCCAUGCCGAAAGGCGGAACUCGCAGGAGACCGCCAGCGAUAAGCUGGAGGAAGGUGGGGAUGACGUCAAGUCCUCAUGGCCUUUAUGUCCAGGGCUACACACGUGCUACAAUGGCCGGUACAAAACGUUCCCAAGCCGCGAGGUGGAGGCAAUCGCAGAAAGCCGGUCUCAGUUCGGAUUGCAGGCUGCAACUCGCCUGCAUGAAGCUGGAAUCGCUAGUAAUGGCGGAUCAGCAUGCCGCCGUGAAUACGUUCCCGGGCCUUGUACACACCGCCCGUCACAUCACGAAAGUGGGUUGUACUAGAAGCUCGCAGGCUGACCCGCAAGGGAGGCAGC